AACGAACGCUGGCGGCGUGCUUAACACAUGCAAGUCGAACGAUGAACCGGAGCUUGCUCUGGGGAUUAGUGGCGAACGGGUGAGUAACACGUGGGCAACCUGCCCCAGACACCGGGAUAACCAUUCGAAAGGAUGGCUAAUACCGGAUACGACCACUUCGGGCAUCCGAUGGUGGUGGAAAGGAUUCUGGUCUGGGAUGGGCCCGCGGCCUAUCAGCUUGUUGGUGGGGUAAUGGCCUACCAAGGCGACGACGGGUAGCCGGCCUGAGAGGGCGACCGGCCACACUGGGACUGAGACACGGCCCAGACUCCUACGGGAGGCAGCAGUGGGGAAUAUUGCGCAAUGGGCGAAAGCCUGACGCAGCGACGCCGCGUGAGGGACGUAGGUCUUCGGAUUGUAAACCUCUUUCAGCAGGGAUGAAGCGAAAGUGACAGUACCUGCAGAAGAAGCACCGGCUAACUACGUGCCAGCAGCCGCCGUAA
RNAcentral lists this ribosomal RNA (482 nucleotides) under uncultured bacterium. RNAcentral's name for it is "partial 16S ribosomal RNA". It matches the Rfam family "Bacterial small subunit ribosomal RNA", at positions 29 to 523 of the family's 1533-position model. The record is from RNAcentral.